CUGCAGGCAAUCUGCCAGAUUCCGGAACUGAUAGCGGCUGCUCUCAGAGGUAACAAGUACACGUGCCACUGCAGGGGAACAGUUCUGCCAUGGUGAUUGCUGGCAACCUUGCACAUGGCCAAAGCUUGAGCUGCAGCUGACCAAAGUCUUCAUAGGAAUGGAACGCUUCGGGAUCCAUGAGAGUGUGGGAGGCUGGUGAGGAGCUACUACCGAGCUACUGCCCACUUGCCUGCCUGUCUCCCCCUAGGAGGCUGUCACAAGACACUUCUCUUCGCCUCCAGUUCUGAUGAGAUAGGAGGCUUUCUGCCUCCUCCCCUACACACAUGCACCCCUUAGGGCACAGCUUCAUUUUUUUUUUUUUUGAGACAGGGUCUCACUCUGGCACCCAGGCUGGAGUCCAGUGGCACAAUGACGGCUCACUGCAGCCUCAACAUCCCAGGCUGAAGCGAACAUCCCGGGCUCAAGGGAUCCUUCCACCUCAGCCUCUCAAGUAGCUGAGACUACAGGCGGGCACAGCUUCAAGCUACAAAACUGCUUCACUGCAGCAUGGUAUUCGCUCCUCAGCCACAGGGUGUCCUGUCCCUUGGGUUGUGGUCAUCUGGCCUCUGUUUGAGUCAUCUUGAGCAAGGGCCACAGGGAGCCAGCAUCUUUGGCUGCUCUUCCUCGCACUGUCUAUGGAAGUCAUACACUCUCCGAAUCUAAAAAAGGCUCAUUGUUUCUUUACAGGCUGUAACUGUUAGGCCUUGCUUAUGCUUGACAGGUAAAAAAUUUUACAGUUAUGUAAAUGGUUUAUUUACAUGGAAAUGUCUUUCACUCUUGUCUCUCAGCCACCAAGUUUGUCUUAUCUCUCUAUUCCUCCAGGCAGUCACUGUAUCCAGGGUGUUCCUUUCAGAUAUAGAUAUCUCUCUACACAGAUAGGGAUAUAAAUAUAGAUACAGAUAUUCAGAAAUAGAUAUUUCAGGCUGGGCACGGUGGCUCACACCUGUAAUCCCAGCACUUUGGGAGGCUGAGGUGUGCAGAUCAUGAGGUCAGGAGAUCGAGACCAUCCUGGCUAACAUGGUGAAACCCCGUCUCUACUAAAAAAUACAAAAAAUUAGCCGGGCGUGGUGGUGGGAACCUGUAGUCCCAGCUACUCGGGAGGCUGAGGCAGGAGAAUGGUGUGAACCUGGGAGGCGGAACUUGCAGUGAGCCGAGAUCGGGCCACUGCACUCCAGCCUGGGUGACAGAGCGAGACUCCAUCUCAAAGAAAAAAAAAAAAGAUAUUUCAGAGAUAUAGAUAUGUAAAAAACAAAUGGUAGCUUAUAAACUCUCCUGUGUCUUCCUCUUUCAAUUCAUCUAUUGUAAAGAGUGCUCCACGUCAUGAGAAUGUCAAGAGCUCUACACUCACGUGGCACACGGCACAGUACGAUGCGACUGGCCACACCAUCAUUUAUUUGCUAUUCUAAAUAAUGCUGCAAAGAUUCUACUUCUGCACACCCGAGAUAGUCUCUUUACUUUAAUUGGGCUGGAGAGAUCUGGAAGGAAUGUGUGAAGGAUUAGAGAAAUGACUGAUUUUUUUUUUUUCGUCUGAGACAGAGUCUCGCUGUGUCGCCCAGGCUGGAGUGCAGUGGUGCGAUCUCAACUCACCACAACCUCUGCUUCCCAGGCUCAAGUGAUUCUUGUGCCUCAGCCUUCCGAGUAGCUGGGAUCACAGGCGCCCACCACCACACCCGGCUAAUUUUUGUAUUUUUAUUUAUUUAUUUUUGAGACAGAGUCUUACUCUGUUGCCCAGGCUGGAGUGCAAUGGCAGGAUCUCAGCUCACUGCAACCUCUGCCUUCCGGGUUCAAGCAAUUCUUCUGCCUCAGCCUCCCAAGUAGCUGGGAUUACAGGCCCUCGCCACCACACCCGGCUAAUUUUGUAUUUUUAGUAGAGAUGGGGCUUUGCCAUGUUGGCCAGGCUAGUCUUGAACUCCUGACCUCGGAUGAUCCAGCUGCCUUGGCCUCCCAAAAUGUUGGAAUUAUAGGCGUGAGCCACUGCGCCUGGCCUAAUUUUUGUAUUUUUAGUAGAGAUGGGGUUUCACCAUGUUGGCCAUGCUGGUCUCAAACUCCUGGCCUCAAGUGAUCUACCCACCUUGGCCUCCCAUAUUGUUGGGAUUACAGGUAUGAGACACCAUGCCCGGCCAACAGGCAUGAUUUUUUUUUUUUAAUUUUUAAUUUUUUCCAGAUAGAGUUUUGCUCUCGUUGCCCAGGCUGGAGUGCAAUGGCACAAACUCGGCCCACUGCAACCUCCACCUCCUGGGUUCAAGCGAUUCUCCUGCCUCAGCCUCCCAAGUAACUGGGAUUACAGGCACAUGCCACCACGCAGCCAACUGAUUUUUAAGAAAACAAAAUUACUUACCUAGAGGGAUGUCACUGUCGGCUUGCUUUGCACCAUUCUGUAAUGUAAUGUACACAGUGUCAAAUAAAUAUUACCUGCUGGGUGACUCCUAACUGGUUCAAGGCAACAAAGAAAUGAUGUAAAGCCACAACACAAACAUUGUACAUUAGUAUUUUCAGGUCCCCUGCAAAAUGAUAUCACGAUGACAGAAAAAGCAUCCUCAGACUCCAGAGGUACCACCUCAGAAACACUCCUCUACGAAAAUGGAUCUGAUGUCUCCAGCCUUCCCUGCCCUAGCCUUAGCUAGUGUCAGGCACCAUCAGAGGCCUGGCUCCAGCGGGAGGGGGAGCCACAGUGCACAUGCAUCAGGGAACCUCCAAAAGCAACACCCUCUGUCAACCUGGAGCAACAAGCCUGGUGGGCCACCCUGUUCUUUCCGGGGCCACAGGAGACUCCCACACAAGGCAGUCCACCUUGGACAGUGACUAUAAUUGCACCCUGAGGGUUUCUGUCAAACUAACUACUCACUCCAGGACUUCUCACCUCCAUGUCUCUCUCUCUCUUGCUGUUCCUCAAGCAGCAACGCCCUUCAGCCUUAAAUCUUUGUAUCCACAAGGCCCAGUGCAAACGCCACCCACUCCGAGGCUUUUCUGGCCCUCCAGGCUCAAAGCAUCAGUAUCCUCAGGUGCACUCCCGACUGCCUUCAUUUCUUUUUUUUUUGAGAUGGAGUCUCGCUCUGUAGCCCAGGCUGGAGUACAAUAGUGCGAUCUCAGCUCACUGCAACCUCCGCCUCUUGGGUUCAAGUGAUUCUCCUGCCUCAGCCUCCUGAGUAGCUGGGAUUACAGGCGCAUGCCACCAUGCCUAGCUAUUGUUGUUUUUUUUUUUUGUAUUUUUAGUAGAGAUGGGGUUUCACCAUGUUGGCCAGACUGGUUUCGAGCUCCUGACCUCAAGAGAGCUGCCCGCCUUGGCCUCCCAAAGUGCUAAGAUUACAGGCGUGAGCCACCACGCCCAGCCUGUCUUCAUUUCUUUUAUCUUAGAAUUAUUUGGGAGUUGGCCGGGUGCAGUGGCUCACGCCGUAAUCCCAGCACUUUGGGAGGCCGAGACGGGUGGAUCACUUCAAGUCAGGAGUUGGAGACCAGCCUGGACAACAUGGUGAAACCUCCCCUCUACUAAAAAUACAAAAUUAGCUAGGCAUGGUGGCACACACCUGUAAUCCUAGCUACUGGGGGAGGCUGAGGCAGGAUUGCUUGAACCCAGGAGAUGGAGGUUGCAGUGAGCUGAGAUCAGGACACUGCACUCCUGCCUGGGACACUGCACUCCAGCCUGGGUGACAGCUAACGAGACUUUGUCUCAGAAAAAAAGAAAAAAGAAAAAGAAAAAGAAUUAUUUGGGGAUGAAACCCUUAUCCUACUCCACCUGUCUGCAGCACUGAAGAUCAUGGGCCACACCCUCCUUCCUGAAGCAUGUUCCUUCUGUUCCUUCUGAAAUUUUCCUCUUACCUUCCUAGGACUCUUUCUCACUCUCCUUUGCUAGCUCUUAGCAACUUUUAAACACUGACAUGCCCUUGAAAUACUUCUCUCUCUCUCCUCUUUCUUUCUCUAGAAUACUUCAUCUAUGCUGAUGAAAAUAGCCAGUUUUUCGUUUUUGUUUUGAGAUGGAGUCUUAAGGUUGUCGCCCAGGUUGGAGUGCAGUGGUGCAAUCUCGGCUCACUGCAACCUCUGCCUCCUGGGUUCAAGCGAUUCUCCUGCCUCAGCCUCCUGAGUAGCUGGGACUACAGGCGUGUGCCACCACGCCCGACUAAUUUUUGUAUUUUUAGUAGAGACGGGGUUUUGCCAUGUUGGCCAGGCUGGUCUCGAACUCCUGACCUCAAGUGAUCUACCCUUGGCCUCUCAAAGUGCUGGGAUUAUAGGCAUGAGCCACUGCGCCUGGCCAGAAAAUAGCCUGUUUUUGACACCCAACUUUCUGGCUCAAACUCAAACCUUUCUUCUCAACUCCACACCCAUAUACCCAACUGCUACUCAACGUCUCUUCUCAGAUGUCUAAUGGACCCAAACCUUAAGCCGCCUCAGAGGACUUCCCUUACUAAUAAUCUGAGGUAGCCUCAGCACUUUGUUGCAGCACCCUGGCCUAUUCAUUACACUACUUCUCACUACCUGAUAUUUUCCCUAUUUGUUUACUGUCUGCUCCUUCCAUUAGAAUUAAGCUCCAUGAAGGAGAGAGAUCCUGUAUUUUGUUUAUCAUGGCUGUAUAUGCUAGACUCAAGUAGUAGUAGACACAGUAGAUAUACAAUAAACAUUUUAUUGAAUGAAUGAACAAAUGAAUGCUAUUGCCACUCUCUCAUCUCAGUUAAUAGCAACUCAAUCCUUUCACUGCUCAAGGCCCCAGACUUGGCUGGGCAUGGUGGCUCACGCCUGUAAUCCCAGCACUUUGGGAGGCUGAGGCGAGCAGAUCAUUUGAGGUCAGGAGUUUGAGACUAGCCUGGCCAACAUGGUGAAAACCCUGUCUCUACUAAAAAUGCAAAAAUAUGAGUCGGGCAUGGUGGUGCAUGCCUGUAAUCCCAGCUACUCGGGAGGCUGAGGCACAAGAAUCACUUGAACCCAGGAGGCGGAGGUUGCAGUGGGCUGAGAUCACGCCACUGCACUCCAGCCUGGAUGACAGAGUAAGACCCUGUCUCAAAAAAAAAAAAAAAAAAAAGCCUGGCGCGGUGGCUCACGCCCGUGAUCAAGACCAACCUGGCUAAUACGGUGAAACCCCCUCUCUACUAAAAAAAAAAAAAAAAAAAAUUAGCCGGUUGUAGUGGUGGGCGCCUGUAGUCCCAGCUACUCAGGAGACUGAGGCAGGAGAAUGGCGUGAACCCGGGAGGCGGAGCUUGCAGUGAACAGAGAUUGCAUCACUGCACUCCAGCCUGGGCGACAGAGUGAGACUCCGUCUCAAAAAAAAAAAAAAAAAAAAAAAAGGCCCCAGACUUCAAUUCCUCUUUUAUUCUCACUUCUCACAUCCAAUCAAUUAGCAAAUCUUGCAGGCUUUCUUUCCAAAAUACGUCUAGGAUCUGACCAAUUCUCAUGACUCCUACUGCUUCCACCCUGCUUAUCAUCUCUUGCCCUACAUUGCAAUCUCCUUACUUGUCUCCCUGAUCUUGGCAUCCUCUAUCUGUUCUCUGUAAGGCUCUCUGAGUGAUCCUUGUAAAACUAAGAUAAUUCCAUUCUGCUUCAAGCUCUCCAAUAGGUCUCCCUUGCGUUCAGAGGAAAGGCUGGAGGCCAUUAAGUCCUAGUAACAGGCCUUUCCCCAGCCAUCCCUCUCUUUGGCUUUGUCUCCUGACCCCUGCUGAGCCACACCUGGGGAUUGCUACUGCCUUCAGGUUAUUGCACUUUCUCUUCCCUCUGCCUAGGAUGCUCAUCCGCCCCCUAUUCUCAUGACUUGCUGUCUGGCUUCUUCCAGGUCGUUAUUCAAAUGCCACCUCAUUGACAGCGUUCCUAGACAAUCCUACUUAAAAUUGCAACCCUACUUCCUACCUCUGGCACUACUUCUUCCUUCUUGGCUUUAUUUUCUGCAAAGUACUACCUCACACAUUCUAUAUUAGUCAUUUACUUACUGCUUGUCUCCCUCCACUAGAACAUAAGCUCCACAAGCUUUAGAAUUUCAAUUUUGUUUGCUACUCCAUCCCCUAGCCUAGCACAGCUUUUGUUGAGUGAGUGAGUGAAUUAAUGAACAAAUGAAUGGAUAUUCUUUUCCAGUCCUGUAAGUGGAAGCUCAAUGGGUUUGGGUGGGUCUUAUCUCUCUUGCUCCGGGGCUUGAUUCAAUGCCUGCACACAGCUGGCUAAAUAAAUGCAUCCUGAAGGAACGACAGAGAAGCUGUUUUAUUCGCGCGUCCUGGGGUUACUAGAGACAAUGGACACUGUAACGUCCCAAAGGGUAGCAAACAACUUGGCAGCCUCUUGCCUUUAUUGUCCGCCUUGGAGGGCCAGAAUGCCCGUAUUUCCCCUUGGGACUGGAAUUUGGUCUUGAGGGCCAAGGACACGAACGUAGAAAAGCUGGCAGCCUUGAAAGAAGCAUACCCAGCCGGCCUUCCGGGCUCCUGCACAUCUCGCGCUACAGCGAGCACCCCACUCCCGGCCAGGUUAGCGCAGACAGCCAGCCCCCUCCCGCGGCGACCAUCACGUAGCCCCCCGACGUAGCUCCACAUCCGGCCAAUGGGCCUGGGGUUCCUAACGUCACCCAGCAGCCUGACAAAACGCCCCUUCCGUCCAGUCCUUCCCGGCUCACCGGGACCCUCCAGGCGGUGUCCGAGCCCUGAGAUUCGGGGUAGAGCUUGUCCAGGCUGUAGA
This 6681-nucleotide long non-coding RNA is filed under the name Homo sapiens (human). RNAcentral describes it as "HSALNT0245217". The record is from RNAcentral. Lineage: Eukaryota; Metazoa; Chordata; Mammalia; Primates; Hominidae.